CCUACGGGAGGCAGCAGUGAGGAAUAUUGGUCAAUGGACGGAAGUCUGAACCAGCCAUGCCGCGUGCAGGAAGACGGCUCUAUGAGUUGUAAACUGCUUUUGUACAAGGGUAAACCUGAAUACGUGUAUUCAGCUGAAAGUACGGUACGAAUAAGGAUCGGCUAACUCCGUGCCAGCAGCCGCGGUAAUACGGAGGAUCCAAGCGUUAUCCGGAUUUAUUGGGUUUAAAGGGUGCGUUGGCGGAUUGGUCAGUUAGGGGUGCAAUGGCCGGGCUUAACUCGGGAACUGCCUCUAAUACUGUUGAUCUGGUGAGUAGAUGCGGUAGGCGGAAUGUAUGGUGGAGCGGUGAAAUGCUUAGAGAUCAUACAGAACACCGCUUGCGCGGGCAGCUUACCAAUCUAUAUCUGACGUUGAGGCACGAAAGCGUGGGGAGCAAACAGGAUUAGAUACCCUUGUAGUC
RNAcentral lists this ribosomal RNA (460 nucleotides) under uncultured bacterium. Its description in RNAcentral is "partial 16S ribosomal RNA". It matches the Rfam family "Bacterial small subunit ribosomal RNA", at positions 338 to 795 of the family's 1533-position model. The record is from RNAcentral.